UUCGCGGAAUGUCGGCGGGCAUAUUGAAUUCGCAGUGUAGCAUCCCUUCAGUUUGUUUAUUUGGUUUGGUGUGUAUUUUCUUCUUUUUUGUGGGAUUGGAGCUUGUAAUAAUAAUUGCUGUGUUUAAGUAGUUUGUUUUGGAUGUAAUUGUAUUUUUUUGUAUUUUGUUUCUUUAACAGAAUGGGGCACUGAUUUGCGGGGUAAACUGUUCUUUAAAGGUGUUCAAGGUGGAUUUACUGGUCGAAAAUUUUAAGGAUCUAGAUUUAAACCUUCCUGGGGGGGCAUUUUCUGUAUAUCGCUUAAAUCAUCCGAGAUCAGAUGCCUCAUCCUGGAUGAGUUAAUGCCGGUGAAAUUCAUCCGGGAUAAGUCGGUUUUUCAAACCCAGCUGUGUAGUAGAUUAGUCUAGCUGGAUCCAUUCAUCCGAGAUGACUGCUUGAAAAGCAAUUUAUAUUGAGUCUGGAAAACAUGAUCAGCGAGUCUUUGAUAGCCUGCAACAAAAUGACGAAAGAAAGGGCGCAUUUUUUCACACAAGCAGAGCAGGACCUUUUAUUAGAAGGAUACGAAGAAUUUCAAGAAUUAAUAUGCAAAAGGGGCAACACGGCAAAAGCAGCCCAAACCAGAAAAGACGGCUGGCAAAAAGUGGCCGACAAAUUAAACGCAUCAAACGUAAGCACAAUGAGAACAUGGGAACAGGUUAAAGUGAAGUACAAGAAUAUACUUCAAACUGCUAAUAAAAAGAAGGCAGACAAGAAAAAAACAGGUGGGGGUCCAGACCUAACCCCCACAGAACAGUUGGCUCUCCAGCAAAAUGCCCAUCGCCCUCUUUCUGAGCGCAUUCCAGAAGGAUGCUCCUCCUCAGAACCAGUAGCAAGAUGCAGUGGUCACUUAAUUUCAGCUGCAGGGAAGGUCUCAUCCCUCGAACCUGUGCCUGACCAACGAGAUGUUGACCAAGGUCAAAUAUUUGAAGACAACGUGUCUAAUUAUUCCUCAGGAGGAGAGGAAGCCGUAGCCAGCACACGUGUCCCUUCUGGAACGAAGACCACAUCAAAAAAAGGAGAUGUUGAGAAAAAUGUGAGGGUUCUAUACAAGAGAUAUCUUCAACAGAAAAUCGCAUACAGAAAACUAAAAAUGAGAAAAAUACAGCAGGAUAUGGAACUUGAUGAACUGAGGGCAACCAAAAUGAAGUUGCAGAUACAAGUACUAGAAAAACAAUUGGUAACAUGAUUCUCAUCUCUUUCCUAUAUGUGUAUGUGUAUGCGUGAGUGUGUCCUUAUUUUCUCCUCCUUACAGGCUGAAGGGCGGUAAUGUACAAUAAAUUUUUGUGUGAAACCACUGUUGUCUUUUUCAAAUGUUGGGCCACAAUUCAGUCUCUGGCAGCUCUGCCACUGGAUUGGUGUAGAUGCACUGGCUCAAGGUCCUCAGGCUGCACCAAAACCUCUCUUUCUGAUGGUGGCUAUGUUGUGUAAGACAGAGCAAAGCAACAACUAUGCCACAUGCUUUGUCGGGUGCAACCCUCAGCCAGUUUAGACACUGGAAUCUCUCCUUUAGGUGGCCAAAGGUAAUUUCAAUUCAUGCCCUUGUCCUAGACAGAACUGCAUUAUAUUGGGUUUGUGGGCCAGGGUUCGGGUUGGGGAAUGAGGUCCUUUAAAAACUGUCUGUAGACGUACCUCUGUCUCCAAACAGGAUCCCAUCACGAUGACCUGUGGAAUAUAUAACAACUGUGAAUACAAUGCACACAUCACCAUGAUUUAUAAUUGGAGUAUGUCCUUGUUCAAAUGUCUGAUACACUUGUGACUUCUUAAUCAUGAACAAACCGUGGCCAUUUAGCCUCCACAUUUGAUACGAGGUGUCCAGGAAACACUGAAAACCCGAAGGCAAUAUUUUAGCGCCAGACUUUACGAAUUGCCCGGCGAACUGCACUUUUAGAUUUCUACAUCGCCUAUAGUAUACAAAAAAAGUGCCUCUUGUUGUCUUGUCCAGAGUCAAUUUGGGCUGUAGCUCCAGCAGAGGUCCUCAUAGGAGGCACAAGCCGUCACUCCUCUCCACACAUCCAUGUUGCCCCUCAGGUGUGCUGUUGAAAGUUGCACAGAGACACGGUCCACAUGAGCAAAUAAUCCAUAGAAUCAGAACGCAAAGACAAGUAAGACAACAUUUAAAAAACAUUUAAACAAGCACAAACGGGGCCUACUGAUCAUGUCAUCCACUCAGGCUUUAGCUGGAACUAAAAAUGAGGUGCCACAAUCCAUCUACAACCAAUGAGGUGCCACAAUCCACCGACAACCAAUGAGGUUCCACAAUCCACCUACAACCAAUGAGGUUCCACAAUCCACCUACAACCAAUGAGCUACUGAUUUUUUUCUGGACAAUUUUUGCACUAAAAAUCUGGCGCAUUUUUCACUUUGUUUACAUUGCAUUGCAUGUUAUGUUACCAUGUCUGUGUAUUCACUGAUAAUUAUAAAUGUAUUUGCAUUGUGUUACUGUAUAUGUACCUUAAUUUUAUAUUUGCACUUUGAUCUGUACUUCUAAUCUGUGUCUUGUGUUAAAUUGUGUUUAGCAGAAGGACACAUAGAAUAAAAAUUCCAGUGUAUAGUGGAACUGACCAUUUACUGUGCAUAUGACAAGUUAACUCUUCAAUUUAAACCAACUGGUGGCCAUCCGAAUGUUGUGAUGUUUUUGGUGGAACUUCAGUUUUGCAAACAGACUGUGAAUAGGGUUAGGUGGGUCGUGUUUCUGUAGCGGCCAUUGGAAAUAGGCUGUACUGAAGGAACAAUAAAGCCAAUGAUGCACUG
This is an RNA transcript of Brienomyrus brachyistius, 2789 nucleotides long. RefSeq lists it as uncharacterized. The transcript has 7 exons. The record is from RefSeq and is a predicted model, not a curated record. NCBI's taxonomy places the organism in Eukaryota, Metazoa, Chordata, Actinopteri, Osteoglossiformes, Mormyridae.